Molecule: ribosomal RNA, 340 nt
Filed under: Vibrio metoecus
Lineage: Bacteria; Pseudomonadati; Pseudomonadota; Gammaproteobacteria; Vibrionales; Vibrionaceae
Description: partial 23S ribosomal RNA
Rfam family: Bacterial large subunit ribosomal RNA
Source: RNAcentral
AAGUGGUACGCGAGCUGGGUUUAGAACGUCGUGAGACAGUUCGGUCCCUAUCUGCCGUGGGCGUUGGAAGAUUGAAGGGGGCUGCUCCUAGUACGAGAGGACCGGAGUGGACGAACCUCUGGUGUUCGGGUUGUGUCGCCAGACGCAUUGCCCGGUAGCUAAGUUCGGAAUCGAUAACCGCUGAAAGCAUCUAAGCGGGAAGCGAGCCCUGAGAUGAGUCUUCCCUGACAGUUUAACUGUCCUAAAGGGUUGUUCGAGACUAGAACGUUGAUAGGCAGGGUGUGUAAGCGUUGUGAGGCGUUGAGCUAACCUGUACUAAUUGCCCGUGAGGCUUAACCAU